UUGGCUAAACUUUUUCACUCUUCCAUGGAUUUAAGUCUGGCUAUUCUUUUGGUGGAUAGCUUUGCGUAUGAGUCUAAACUUUUUAUCUUUGGCAGGCUGUUCUUUCUUCAAUCAAGAGGAAUCAUGAUCAGAAUUAACUAACAACAGUAUUUUUUCUCUCAAUAUUGUAUAAUAAGAUUUUCCAAUAAAUUAUAAAAUAAAUUUUAUUUUCCCAAGAAAUUAUUGAACUUUUCUUUUUCGACUGC
This 245-nucleotide long non-coding RNA is filed under the name Elaeis guineensis (African oil palm). Its description in RNAcentral is "long non-coding RNA (EGUI_LNC003044)". Lineage: Eukaryota; Viridiplantae; Streptophyta; Magnoliopsida; Arecales; Arecaceae. The record is from RNAcentral.